AUGGGUUUUAUAAUUCUUCCACUUAUGAUAUAAUCUCUGCCUCUUCAGAAUCAGGGUAAAGGAAAGUACCUUUAGAUAAGGCUCUCAUUACUUUUUGUAUAGAAUAUGGCAACACCUUUCUGACUCUGUGUAUCCAUUUUCUCCUCUGUGUCCAUCCGCCUCUCUGGACUUUCCCUGCAGUAACUAUUUAGGGGGAAAAAAUCUGGCAAACCAUUUCGUCAUCUAGCAUAUUACGAAUGGCUCCAGAUUACUAUAAAAUUACAUGCACAAUUCUGUUUUCUUUAACAGGUACUUAAUGAACUUGCCUUGGUCUAUCUUUCUAUCCUGUGCUGCCAACAUUCUCAUGGUGAAACCCUGCAUAUCUCUCCUCCCAUGUCUCAUUCACAGAAGCAUUUUUUCUUAAAUCCCUCGAUCCUGUUUAUUAAAGCAUCAUCAUCCCAAUUACU
This 446-nucleotide long non-coding RNA is filed under the name Bos taurus (domestic cattle). RNAcentral's name for it is "long non-coding RNA NONBTAT022512". The record is from RNAcentral. Lineage: Eukaryota; Metazoa; Chordata; Mammalia; Artiodactyla; Bovidae.